This is a long non-coding RNA of Bos indicus x Bos taurus (hybrid cattle), 1293 nucleotides long. Lineage: Eukaryota; Metazoa; Chordata; Mammalia; Artiodactyla; Bovidae. The record is from Ensembl.
AUGCUAAAGAAGGCAGGAAAAAACACCGCGCCGAGGCCACUUACCGAGCCGAGGGACCUAGAUUCCCGCCGCUCUGCUCGCCCGAACGGUCGGUCCGCCCUCCACGCACCCCGAGGCUGCACCCAGCACCCCCAAAAGUCGAGACGUGUAGGAAUAUGGUUAAGGAGCCAGGAGACCCUCCAAGUUGCUCCGGGCUCCCGGGAACCUCAACGUCCAAGACACAACUUGGCCAAGACUUGUGCCACAGUCACCGGAGAUGUUUCUGCGGAGACCCUCCUCGGGCGGGCAGAGACAGCGCUCAGCGGCGCCCCGCUCGCCUCCUCUCCACCCCCUCACCUCCAGCCCGCCUCCGGCCGGCCGCCCGCCCCCGGGCCGCUAGCCCCUCGGGCGGCUGUCAGCUCCCGGCCGCCGCCGGGUGACAGGGGCGGGUGGAGGGCGCGACGCGGCGGCCCGAGCCCGAGCGGGCGAGGGGGAUCCUCGCAGCAGCAGCAGAGGCGGCCGCUCACCUGGAAAGUCACCGCUGAGAAGGAGGAGGAGGAGGAGGACGGAGAGAAGGAGGAGGAAGAGGAGGGAGAGGAGGAGGGGGAGGAAACCCCCCUGGUGCCCUUGUUCUCGCUGCCGCGGCGGCCGCUCCUCGCCAAGGCUGAGCGUGUCUGGUGGGGGGUGUCUGGUAGCAUUUCCUUAAGGACAGAGGGAGGGCGGGUGCGGAGGGAGGGAAGCGAUCCCGACCGCCUGCCCAGGCUCCUCUGUCCUUUUAUUUAUUUUUCUGACACUGUACGGAGAUGGGCCCGGGGCAGGGGCCACCGGGCUCGGGAGGGAGCCGCGAGGCCCGGGCCGCAGCCGUCUGCGUGCGGGAGCCGCAGCGGCCGCCUCCCCUCCCGGUCUGUGGACGCACCGGGUUAUUCCUGGCAGCGCCUCCCCGAACAGAAGUUACUAGGAGGAGUGCGCGGCGAGGGCGGGCGGGGGGGGAGAGGCGGAGAGAGGGAGGGAGGAAGAGGGAGAGACUCAGCCAGCGACGUCAUCGGAUCCCCCAGCGCGUCCCAGGGAGGGAGGCUGAACCAGAAAAACCAGUCUGGAGCCGGCGAGCGGAGUGGGUUGAGCGGCUCGCGGGGCGACGGGGCAGGGAGGCGACCGCUAGGGCAGGGCCGGGCCCCCGCGCGGCCGCUCCGGGCGGGAAGACCGCGGCCGCGCUCUUGCUCGCUUGGAUCGGGGAUCUCCCCCGGAGGGCUGGUCUCUACUUGUCAUGCAGAAAAAAAACUUGGGCGUCUCUGGGAGCCUGAGAAUUUCCUUUAG